RNAcentral lists this ribosomal RNA (433 nucleotides) under uncultured bacterium. RNAcentral describes it as "partial 16S ribosomal RNA". It matches the Rfam family "Bacterial small subunit ribosomal RNA", at positions 29 to 507 of the family's 1533-position model. The record is from RNAcentral.
AGCGAACGCUGGCGGCAGGCUUAACACAUGCGAGUCGAGCGGGCACUUCGGUGUCAGCGGCAGACGGGUGAGUAACACGUGGGAACGUACCCUUCGGUUCGGAAUAACGCUGGGAAACUAGCGCUAAUACCGGAUACGCCCUUUUGGGGAAAGGUUUACUGCCGAAGGAUCGGCCCGCGUCUGAUUAGCUAGUUGGUGGGGUAAUGGCCUACCAAGGCGACGAUCAGUAGCUGGUCUGAGAGGAUGAUCAGCCACACUGGGACUGAGACACGGCCCAGACUCCUACGGGAGGCAGCAGUGGGGAAUAUUGGACAAUGGGCGCAAGCCUGAUCCAGCCAUGCCGCGUGAGUGAUGAAGGCCUUAGGGUUGUAAAGCUCUUUUGUCCGGGACGAUAAUGACGGUACCGGAAGAAUAAGCCCCGGCUAACUUCGUG